AUUGAACGCUGGCGGAAUGCUUUACACAUGCAAGUCGGACGGUAGAGGGGGCAACCCCUCGAGAGUGGGGAACGGGUGAGUAAUAUAUCGGAACGUGCCCAGUCGCGGGGGAUAGCGUAGCGAAAGUUACGCUAAUACCGCAUACGACUUAAGGAUGAAAGCGGGGGAUCGCAAGAACUAGCGCGGUUGGAGAGGCCGAUACCAGAGUAGGUAGUUGGUGGGGGAAAGGAUCACCAAGCCAACGAUCUGUAGCUGGUCGGAGGGGACGACCAGCCACACUGGAACUGAGACACGGUCCAGACUCCUACGGGAGGCAGCAGUGGGGAAUUUUGGACAAUGGACGCAAGUCUGAUCCAGCCAUUCCGCGUGCAGGAUGAAGGCCCUCGGGUUGUAAACUGCUUUUGUACGGAACGAAAAGGUCUCUCUUAAUACGGGGGGCUCAUGACGGUACCGUAAGAAUAAGCACCGGCUAACUACGUGCCAGCCGCCGCCGUAA
This 496-nucleotide ribosomal RNA is filed under the name uncultured bacterium. Its description in RNAcentral is "partial 16S ribosomal RNA". It matches the Rfam family "Bacterial small subunit ribosomal RNA", at positions 29 to 523 of the family's 1533-position model. The record is from RNAcentral.